This is a long non-coding RNA of Amphiprion ocellaris (clown anemonefish), 1117 nucleotides long. The record is from Ensembl. NCBI's taxonomy places the organism in Eukaryota, Metazoa, Chordata, Actinopteri, Pomacentridae.
AGAUAAGGUUGAUGGACAGUAAGGUGAGCUGUCGGAGGGAAGUGCUGCAGGACUAGAGGUUUCUCUGCGCUGCUGGAGGUGUGGACAGUCGGUGAAGAGUUCUGGUGUAAAGCCCGGUCCGGGAGAACCAGAACCCUGAUGAAUGUUGACCUCACUGCACAGCAGCGACAGAGGACCAGCUUUAAUAUGCAACCAUCUCAGACUCAGUAACUGCUUUCACCCCACUGAUCACACAAUCAUUUGCUCAUCAGUUUUAUAAAAGUGGGAUAUUUCUUGGUACGAAUAGACUUCUCAUGAUUCUGCAAACUACUGUUUUUCCUGCUUUAAACAACCUUCAUGAAGCAAACAAACAAAUACACUAGAGUGUCACUAACAGAUUUUCCGAUGAUUACUCAGGAUGUUUUUUUAACUCUAUGGCUACAAGCUGCUGUGUUUGAUGUACUUGCAACUGAAAAUAAAGGGCUAUAUAUAUUACUUUCAUGAAAUUAAAACAUACUGAUGACAUAGUGCUUUUGAAAAUUAUAUUUUAAAUGGAUCGCAAUAAUUGAGAUGCAAAGAAAUCUAAUAAAUAUAUUUUAAAUACAAAAAUUCUGACAUCUUAUUAUUAACUCCAUUAACAACCGUUUCAUUUAAUAUUUAUUCUUUACUUCUCACAAAUCAUAGUUCAAUAAAGGAUCAUUCCCUCAUUUUUCAUAAAAAAAAAAAUGCAUGUUAAAACUUUAAAAAGUGCAUUGAAAAGACCUACAUAUACAUUUAGAUUUUUUUUCUUAAUGAGACACCUCUUCUGCUCAGGGUGGGUUGCAAAUCACCAUUUUCAUUUUAUAUGUUGAUUACAGUUAUUAACCCAAACAGAAGAAGUUUCAUACUGAAAAAAAUACUUUUAACAUUUUUUUUAGGUGUUUUCACUUUAAAAUUGGUCAAUUUCACUCACGACAUACAGGAGGGUUAAAAGCUUUUUAUGUUAAUAUAAUAUGCAAUAAUAUUUAAUAAUUUCUUAGUAAUAUAAUAAUAGAUUCAAUAAUAUAAUGUAUAUAAUAUAUGUAUAUAUUUUUAGUCUGUUUAUUGCCUCAUAUAGUUUAUUUUUAAUGCAGCUAUGUGGAGAGUGCUAAACUGAUUU